Nerophis ophidion (straightnose pipefish) is the source of this 2005-nucleotide long non-coding RNA. RefSeq lists it as uncharacterized. The transcript is spliced from 2 exons. Lineage: Eukaryota; Metazoa; Chordata; Actinopteri; Syngnathiformes; Syngnathidae. The record is from RefSeq and is a predicted model, not a curated record.
UAAAAGUUGGAAAAGUCGGCAAAAGUUCCAAAAAUGCCCCACAAGUCCCGCCGCCGGGAUGCCCAAAAUGUCCAAAACUCGCCCAGUAAAGUCCCACGGUGUGGCGGGGAGAAAAGUGAGAAAAGUCGGUAAAAUGUUCAAAAAUCCCACCCGGGCACUCGAACUCAAACUCGAACCUGGGUGGGACUCGAACCUGGAUAGGUAUUUUUAAAAUGUUUGGGGACUUUUGCUGACUUUUCCAGCUUUCAUCCCCCCCCCGCGGGACUCGGCUGGGUGUGUUAUGGACAUUUUGGGCAUCCCGGGACUUGCGCGGCCAGCGGCGUGACUUGUGGGACUCGAACCUGGACUUAUUCAACUUUCAUACCCCCUCCUCAUGGGACUCGGCUGGGUGUGUUAUGGACAUUUUGGGCAUCCCGGGACUUGUGCGGCCGGCUAAGGGACUCGUGGAACUGAAACCCAGGGAGGUAUUUUGGACAAAAUUGGGACUUUUGAACAUUUUGGCUGCCUUUUCCCCUCUUCUUUCCCGCUUUCCUGUGCACCAUUGCUGGGUGUGUUUUGGACAUUUGGAGAAAAAUUGUUUCAAGCAUGUUUUACUCAACAUGGGUCAUCACAUCUCAGCAACAAGCUGUAAUAUCUUACUGACAUCAUUUCGGAUCAAAACCCUUAAAACAAGUAAAACACUCGAACAUAAAAUCUUAUGUAUGGCCGCGCAAGUCCCGGGAUGCCCAAAAUGUCCAAAACACACCCAGCCGAGUCCCACUGGGAGGGUGGAUAAAAGUUGGAAAAGUCGUCAAUUGUCCCAAAAAUUUUCUAAAUACCUACCCAGGUUCGAGUCACACAAGUCCCGCCGCUAGUCGGGAUGCCCAAAAUGUCCAAAAUGCGCCCGGCAAAGUCCCACAGGGUGGCGGGGAGAAAAGUGAGAAAAGUCGGUAAAAUGUUCAAAAAUCACAUUAGAACUCAAACUGGAACUUGGGUGGGACUCAAACCUGGGUAGGUAUUUUUAACAUUUUUGGGGACUUUUGCCGACUUUUCCAACUUUUAUACCCCCUCCUCAUGGGACUCGGCUGGGUGUGUUAUGGACAUUUUGGGCAUCCCGGGACUUGUGCGGCCGGCUAAGGGACUCGUGGAACUGAAACCCAGGGAGGUAUUUUGGACAAAAUUGGGACUUUUGAACAUUUUGGCUGCCUUUUCCCCUCUUCUUUCCCGCUUUCCUGUGCACCAUUGCUGGGUGUGUUUUGGACAUUUGGAGAAAAAUUGUUUCAAGCAUGUUUUACUCAACAUGGGUCAUCACAUCUCAGCAACAAGCUGUAAUAUCUUACUGACAUCAUUUCGGAUCAAAACCCUUAAAACAAGUAAAACACUCGAACAUAAAAUCUUAUGUAUGGCCGCGCAAGUCCCGGGAUGCCCAAAAUGUCCAAAACACACCCAGCCGAGUCCCACUGGGAGGGUGGAUAAAAGUUGGAAAAGUCGUCAAUUGUCCCAAAAAUUUUCUAAAUACCUACCCAGGUUCGAGUCACACAAGUCCCGCCGCUAGUCGGGAUGCCCAAAAUGUCCAAAAUGCGCCCGGCAAAGUCCCACAGGGUGGCGGGGAGAAAAGUGAGAAAAGUCGGUAAAAUGUUCAAAAAUCACAUUAGAACUCAAACUGGAACUUGGGUGGGACUCAAACCUGGGUAGGUAUUUUUAACAUUUUUGGGGACUUUUGCCGACUUUUCCAACUUUUAUACCCCCUCCUCAUGGGACUCGGCUGGGUGUGUUAUGGACAUUUUGGGCAUCCCGGGACUUGUGCGGCCGGCUGUGGGACUCGUGGAACUGAAACCCGGGGAGGUAUUUUGGACAAAAUUUGGACUUUUGAACAUUUUGGCUGCCUUUUCCCCUCUUCUUUCCCGCUUUCCUGUGCACCAUUGCUGGGUGUGUUUUGGACAUUUGGAGAAAAAUUGUUUCAAGCAUGUUUUACUCAACAUGGGUCAUCAAAUCUCAGCAACAAGCUGUAAUAUCUUACUGACAU